UCCGGGGGGAGCAAGCGUUGUUCGGAUUUACUGGGCGUAAAGGGCGCGUAGGCGGUCAGCACAAGUCAGUUGUGAAAUCUCCGGGCUUAACUCGGAAAGGUCAACUGAUACUGUGCGACUAGAGUGCAGAAGGGGCAACUGGAAUUCUCGGUGUAGCGGUGAAAUGCGUAGAUAUCGAGAGGAACACCUGCGGCGAAGGCGGGUUGCUGGGCUGACACUGACGCUGAGGCGCGAAAGCUAGGGGAGCGAACGGG
RNAcentral lists this ribosomal RNA (254 nucleotides) under uncultured bacterium. Its description in RNAcentral is "partial 16S ribosomal RNA". It matches the Rfam family "Bacterial small subunit ribosomal RNA", at positions 524 to 776 of the family's 1533-position model. The record is from RNAcentral.